Molecule: long non-coding RNA, 2408 nt
Filed under: Ovis aries (sheep)
Lineage: Eukaryota; Metazoa; Chordata; Mammalia; Artiodactyla; Bovidae
Description: lncRNA (ENSOARG00000026420.1)
Source: RNAcentral
AUGGUAGAUGCAAGAAUGAGGGCAGCACUUCUGGAGGCCUUGCCUCUUUCCCCAGUAUGGCUGUCGCUCUUCCUCACGCAUGUGUGUGUUUUCUCACCCCAUACCAGUUGCCUUGAGUAUGCCAGGAUGGAAGACUGUUUGCAACAGAGAACCCGUUGUGUAUUCCAUGACAACUGUUCUGGCAAGACGAGGCGUGUGAGCCCCCAGGGGCUUCUGGGCAAUUGGUCCUUCGAUGUACAGGUGGAUCAUCCAUGGCGGUGCAUUUGGAGUAUUAGGAAGGACAACAGUGGCAGAUGUAUGGACCAUCCAACAGUUUUCCUCUCCCAUAAUCGGUUUCCUUUGUGGCGGAACUCCAGAUCCACAAGAGUUCAAUUUAGAUUCACACUUGAUUUCUUAUGAAAGAAUUAUAUUUGUUUCACCUUGAGAAGUGAAAUGAUGGAGAAUAUCUGACUAAAUCUGCCAAUCAAACCUCACAGUUCAUUGGAGACUCUCACACUGGUAAGCAUUUUGUCCUGAGAAUACUGACAUUAGAGUGUUGUAACAUUCCAAUGAUAAUAAAACUCUGGCCAAGCCAGUUAACUGAUACUGGAUCACUGACUGUGAUGACGUAGUCUCCAUCAUUUAAAACUGCUGAUUGUUGUGUCUAAGGGUGUUGGAAUCCUGAGUGCUCAGUCUCUGCUACAUAACUUACUGUCCUACUACAAAUGUACCUGUAUUGGUGAUGAGUUCAAAGUGGGUCUCAGAGGAAUCUGAAUAAAAUGACUGACAAAGUUACUUCUGUGAGGUGAGGUCCAGCACAAGGGACGAUACUAGGCUAUGGAGGGAGUUCAGUUGGUCAAGUAAUAUCUAUAGUGACUACCAUGUUUAAAGUUAACAAAUAACUUUGACAAAUUUUACAGUUGCCUAUAAACAUCUGAUUUGGUGGCAGAAAAUACUAGACAGUAUUUGCUCUGAUGGAGGGUAGAGAUUAACAUAAUGUUGGAAUAACAUCAGAAACAUUUUAGGAGACAAAUACAUUAUUUUAUUUCAAAUGAGGGUACAUUUGUGAACUCUAUGAUUUUGUAUCUAGUAGACCAGUGGACACAUUUACCUCUUAUCUUUCCACAUUUUACUUUGUUCUUUCAAGUAGCAUGGAUCUAGUACUGAGUUUCAUAUGAAAGAGAAGCAACAUAAAGGACAGGAUUGAGAAUAAGUUAGCCUUUUCAUCUUUGGGGUUCGUUCUCAAGCUGGUAAACAUUUUGUCCUGAAAAUACUCUAUUCUUCUUAGAGGUCAUAUAAUAUUGAGGUCAAUAUUAGGGGUCAAUAAUGGUAAGUCUUUGACUAUUCUGGGAAGUAUAUGGUCUCCAAGACUGAAUAUGGUAGGUCAGUAUGUCUGUGGGUGAUGUACUCCUGAAUACCUGCUCUGUUGUUUAACUGAGGUUCGAAAUACCCCUUUAGUAAUGUGCCUGGAUUGAUGACUGAAUAAUUUUUUUAUUCAGAAAAUCUGAAUAAAAUGAGUGACCUAAUCAAUUCUGUGAAGCUGAGGACCAGAACCCACCUUGUACAAAAUAUAUGGAAAGAGAGUUGAGUUUUUUCAUCUGUGAGGUAUCAGUAGAGACUGUUGUAUUUGAAAGUUCACCAAUGUGCAUGUGUUUGAUAAACUGAAUUAGGCAGAGGGCUGUACUUCUACACUGUUGGGAUAAUAUUGAAACUCUCUUGAGUGCUCAUUUGGCAGCACUAGACUCUAGAGAACCAGCACAUGAGUGCUGGAAAUGUGGGGUGCAGUUAUGCCUACACAUGUUUGUCUGAGCUGCUGGAAUCUUCUGAAUGACAGUCUCUUUAGGGCAAUUAGAUGGUCAAAAUUCAAAGAGAUCAAAGAUUUUUAUUCUUCACUUCUAUAUUAAAUGAAACAAUUACAUGGAAAUUGAAGCAUAGAUACUGAAUUUUAGAAUAUCUUCAUAGUAUUUUUAAUAGAAAUUUAUUUAUUUUGAUUGGAGGUUAAUUACUUUAAAAUAUUAUAUUGGUUUUGCCAUACAUCAACAUGAAUCUGCCACAGGUAUACAUAUGUUCCCAUCCUGAACUCCCCUCCCUCCUCCUUCCCUGUACCAUCCCUCUGGGUCGUCCCAGUGCACCAGCCCCAACCAUCGAACCUGGACUGGCGAUGCAUUUCAUAUAUGAUAUUAUACAUGUUUCUAUGCCAUUCUCCAAAAUCAUCCGCGAUUCAUGGGGUCGCAAAGAGUCGGACACGACUGAGCGACUGAACUGAACUGAUAACAUUUGUGUCUCUUGCUGUCUCGCAUACAGGGUUAUCAUUACCAUCUUUCUAAAUUCCAUAUAUAUGCAUUCAGUUCAGUUCAGUCGAUCAGUUGUGUCCGACUCUUUGUGACCCCAUGAAUCGCAGCACGCCAGGCCUCCCUGUUCAUCACCAA